RNAcentral lists this long non-coding RNA (3089 nucleotides) under Macaca mulatta (Rhesus monkey). RNAcentral describes it as "lncRNA (ENSMMUG00000063238.1)". The record is from RNAcentral. Lineage: Eukaryota; Metazoa; Chordata; Mammalia; Primates; Cercopithecidae.
GGCCACGCCCCGUAGGACCUGACCAAGCCCGGUACUGAGGCUUCACAAGGCCUCCGCCUGUGCGGCCACUUCCUCUUCCUCCUGCCUCUCCUCUUUUUUGGGGGAGAGGGGCACGCCCUGCCGCUGGCCCACAGACCUCGUGGAUGCCGCAUAGAAUGGCCCGAAGUAAACACGGGGUUCUUUCCCAUAAGGGCCCCGUCCAGGGAUGGGGGUUGAGUCACCUUCUCCCCUGUAGUCUUUGCGGGAGUUUAAAGGAAACAAACGACUCACCUGCUGCAAGUGCUUAGCAUUGUGCUAGAAUAAUUACAGAAGCUAUCUCAAGCUGGGCGUGGUGGUGCACGCCUGUAAUCCCAGCUACUUCGGAGGCUGAGACGGGAGGAUCGCUUGAGCCCAGGAGAGAUCACAACACUGCACUCCAGCCUGGGUGACAGGGUGAGACUCUUCAAAAAAAGGGGCAAGAAUAAUUCAGCAGUAGUUGGUUACAGAGUGAAAAGUACUCCCACUUGAUUUUUAUUUUAUUAUCCUGGACUCGAUUUUAUUAUCAAGUGGGAUUUUUACCUGGGCUUUCAGAAGUUAAGGUAAUUUGCCCAAGGUCACAUGAUUAGUAAAUUAUCAGUUUAGGAUUGAACUCAGGUCACCUGUCUCCCCCAAAGCAUACAGAAUGCAGGUGUGUACAUUUAUCUAAGUGUGUCAAACUGUACAGUUAAAAUGGGUACAUUUAAUGUUACUUAUAACCCAGUUAAGUUGGUUUUUUUCAAUCAUGCAGAAUGAGUGAUGUUAUAAAACUCGUCAAAUAAACCACAUUAUGAUUUCAUACAUGAAAGUAUUUUUAAAGGCUGGGUGCAGUGGCUCACGCCUGUAAUCCCACCACUUUGGGAAGCUGAGGCAAGUGGAUCACCUGAGGCUAGGAGUUCAAGACCAGCCUGGCCAACAUGGUGAAACCCCAUUUCUACAAAAAAUACAAAAAUUAGCUGGUCAUAGUGGCACAUGCCUGUAAUCCCAGUUACUCGGGAGGCUGAGGCACAAGAAUUGCUUGAACCCGGGAGGCAGAGGUUGCAGUGAGCUGAGAUUGUACCACUGCAGUCCAUCCUGUGCAAGAGAGUAAGACUGUCUCAAAAAGAAAGUUUAUGUAUGAAGAUAUGCCUUUAUUUAUAACACAACUGUCAAGCGUUGUUCAUUCAAGUGACCUUUCCAAACUUCAGUACAGAUGUAUAUAAAUAUCAAGCAGGAAGCUACCAUGGGUUAGGGUCAUGAAAGUCUGUCUUGGAAAUCAACCAAGCAUACACAGAAUUGGAAACAACAUUGGAAGUAUGUGAUACCACACCUAUCUAACAAAAACAUCUUCAAAGUGCAGGGCACUGAACGGAUCAGACACUUUUGCUAUUGGGUAUGCACAAAAGUCACCUUUCAUAUGUAUAAUAUACUAUGUAUGGUACUAAGGAUUGUAUAAUAUACUAUGUAUGGUACUAAGGAUGGUGAUUACAAGCUGUGCAGCAGAACUUAGAAGUUUGUAUUUUCAAUUAUACCAAGGCUGUGUUUGACUGUUUAAAGACAGUAUACUGACGACUGUUUCAUUUUAUAAUGUUCCACUUUGAAGUUUUACCAGUUUCAGAAACAUCUUGAAUUUAAGGCUUUAAUGAAAUUUUGUGAAUCAAAAAUUCAUAAAAUUGGUAUUCUGAACAAUCAUGAUUGUCCACACAUAUGUAGAAACAGGAUACAGCAUAACUCAGUUUUUCUCACAAGUGGUAAACUGGCUUUCAUAGAAUGGUUAAACUGAUGCUAGUUGCCACCCCGGCCCAAUACACGUAUGUUUCUGUCGGUCAAUUUAACAGCCCCUCUUAUAAUAAUAAACUCCACAGUCCUCAAAAUAGGAUGUGACUGAUUGGAUUUCACUUUAGGAAUUCUGCACAACCUUGUGUUUUCCUAGAAAAUAUUUUCUUGGCCAGGCACAGUGGUUCAUGCCUGUAAUCAUUCUCUACGAUUGGUCUUCCAGCACUUUGGGAGGCUGAGGCAGGGGGAUGACCUGAACCCAGGAGUUUGAGACCAGCCUGGGCAACAUGGCAAAACCCCGUCUCUACCAAAAACACAAAAAAUUAGCCAGAUUUGGUAGCGUGUGCCUAUGGUUCAAGCUACUUGGGAGGCUGAGGUGGGAGGAUCACUUGAACCUGGGAGGCUGAGGUUGUAGUAAGUGGAGAUUGCACCACUGCACUCCAGCCUGGGUGAUAGAGUGAGACCUCAUCUCAAAAAUAAGAAAAAACUUAAAAUGUAAAAAAUUUAACCAAGGCCAGGCAUGGUGUCUCACAUCUGUAAUCCCAGCAUUUUGGGAGGCCAAGGCAGGCAAAUCACUUGAGGUCAGGAGUUCAAGACCAGCCUGGCCAGCAUGGCAAAACCCCCUCUCCACUAAAAAUACAAAAAUUAGCUCGUGUGGUGGCAGGCACCUGUAGUCCCAGCUACUUGGGAGACUGAGAAAGGAGAAACACUUGGACCCGGGAGGCGGAGGUUGCAGUGAGCCAAGAUCACACCACUGCACUCCAGCCUGGGCAACAGAGUCUGGGCAAGAGACUCAGUCUCAAAAAAUUUCAACCAAUAUGUAUAUAUAAAAGAUAUUCACUGCAGUGGCAUAUAUAAUGACGAAACUGGAAAACUUAAUCUAAAUCAACAAUAGUAACAUAUAUAGCAUUGAUAAGAGACUAUAAACAACUACAUCAAAAUGUUAAUUGUGGUUAUUGCUCAAUAGUAGGAUUAUGGGCCACUUAAAUUUUCUUUUCACUUCAACAUUUUUUCACAUUCUCUAUGAUUAGCAUUUUUUUAUAAUCAGGUAAAUAAAUACUAUUUUUUAAAAAAGAAAAUCCUUGGAGGGCUUAAGAAGCACUUAACUUCUUGAUCAUAGCUAAUAGAAUAAAAUAUUAGUGCUUAUACAUGGUAAAUAGCAAAGAAAUAAUCCUAAGCAAUGACUACUUUAGAAACCAGUCUCACUCUACCACCUGCUUUCAUUCUUAUCCUCAACUAGUUGUCAGAACUGUUUCCUGUGGUUGAAAGCCUGUUACUCCCAAAGUAGAAUAGUAUAAAAUGAAUAUAGUCUAAAAGCU